AUAGCGUAUAUUAAAGUUGUUGCAGUUAAAAAGCUCGUAGUUGGAGUUCAGAGUGAGCUCAGCUGGUCGGCCUAAUGGGUCAGAACUGGUUGACUCUCUCUUGUUUGUGGGUCUCGCCCGGAGUUAACUCUUCGGAUGUGGAUCCCACAUCGUUUACCUUGAAAAAAUUAGAGUGUUCAAAGCAGGCGUUUGCUUGAAUAUAUUAGCAUGGAAUAAUGGAAUAGGACGCUGGUUCUAUUUUGUUGGUUUUGAGAACCAGAGUAAUGAUUAAUAGGGACAGUUGGGGGCAUUCAUAUUUCAUUGUCAGAGGUGAAAUUCUUGGAUUUAUGAAAGAUGAACUUCUGCGAAAGCAUUUGCCAAGGAUGUUUUCAUUAAUCAAGAACGAAAGUUAGGGGAUCGAAGACGAUCAGAUACCGUCGUAGUCUUAACCAUAAACUAUGCCGACUAGGGAUUGGGCGUGGUUUGUUCAUUGACCCGCUCAGCACCUUACGAGAAAUCAAAGUCUUUGGGUUCCGGGGGGAGUAUGGUCGCAAGGCUGAAACUUAAAGGA
RNAcentral lists this ribosomal RNA (550 nucleotides) under uncultured eukaryote. Its description in RNAcentral is "SSU rRNA". It matches the Rfam family "Eukaryotic small subunit ribosomal RNA", at positions 594 to 1151 of the family's 1831-position model. The record is from RNAcentral.